RNAcentral lists this ribosomal RNA (393 nucleotides) under Triticum aestivum (bread wheat). RNAcentral describes it as "partial small subunit ribosomal RNA". Lineage: Eukaryota; Viridiplantae; Streptophyta; Magnoliopsida; Poales; Poaceae. The record is from RNAcentral.
AUGAAGAGGUUGGGGCAAUGGCUUUUGAAGGAAAAGAAAAUAAUCGUUGGUCAUUCUUUGAGCAACAAACAUACAAGAGAAAUUCGUUGCCUCGUUAUAUUUGUGAGAAUGCAUUAUGACAAAGUAUCUUUGAUGCAGAUCCAUGAACUUGGAAUGAAAAUUGCAGUUCCGAAGACCCCGAACAAUCAGCUCGGGAAUCAAUUCGAUGGUAUGGAAAUGUCCAUUCUGCAAGAGGAGUUAAAAUCUACUAGUAAAGAUGUAGAGCUGACAAGAUUGAAGGAGAUGCUUUCCCAGAAAGAGGCAACUAAAGAAGACACAGACAUGGAAGAGAGAGAUAGAGCUGCAAAGGAUACAGACGCUCCUGAUCCGCAACCGAUAAAAGUGGAUCCCUAA